UUUUCAUGAUGAUCACAUUAUCCAAUACCAUCUUUCGACUGAUCAUUUUGAUGUUCAUUCUUAACUGAUUACAAAA
Small nucleolar RNA from Musca vetustissima, 76 nucleotides. The record is from RefSeq and is a predicted model, not a curated record. Lineage: Eukaryota; Metazoa; Arthropoda; Insecta; Diptera; Muscidae.